This 253-nucleotide ribosomal RNA is filed under the name uncultured bacterium. RNAcentral describes it as "partial 16S ribosomal RNA". It matches the Rfam family "Bacterial small subunit ribosomal RNA", at positions 524 to 776 of the family's 1533-position model. The record is from RNAcentral.
UACGGAGGGUGCAAGCGUUAAUCGGAAUUACUGGGCGUAAAGCGUGCGCAGGCGGUUUGUUAAGUCCGUUGUGAAAGCCCCGAGCUCAACUUGGGAAUUGCAGUGGAUACUGGCAGGCUGGAGUACGGUAGAGGGUCGCGGAAUUCCCAGUGUAGAGGUGAAAUUCGUAGAUAUUGGGAAGAACACCGGUGGCGAAGGCGGCGACCUGGUCCGUUACUGACGCUGAGGCGCGACAGCGUGGGGAGCAAACAGG